ACAUUCUUGUUUGCAUGGACUAAAAAGUUGCCUCCACUCAAAGAGUAGUACUUUCCUUACAGCGAAGACAAAUAAAAAAAAAAUCAGAAGCAUCCUCUCUUGUUUCCAUUGGCUAGAUGAAAGAUUAUUGCUUCCAACCAAAUAGAAAUGUAUCUGCAUCAAAAGAGAAAAUAGUUGUUAAUCACAAUUACAUUCAGAAUCCUAAGUACACACAUUCUGCAGCAGAUCCAUCUGAUGGGUAACAUAGUCAAGCACCAAAUCAAAGAUGCGACGGGGAGAGAGGGCUCAUCCUCCUAAUGUUGUGAUGACACACCUGCAGGUGGAGAGGAUAGUGUGAUGAGGAGGAGCUGGGGAACGGAUCUGGGUGGCGAGGUCGAUGUUCUGCUUGACGACGAGGUGAGAAGGAUGUAGCUCGUGAUCGCCGAUGUCGGGGAUGGCGGGGGAAAGGUUCCCUGCAAGGAGACGGGACAAGGUGAGAUUAGGUACGAGAGAGUAAUCAGGGAGGGAGUUAUUACGCGUGGAUAGUGCUGGUGAAUAGCUCCUCGGACUAUGGGAUAAGGCAUAUAUAUCAACAACCGUGGGAUUCUAAUAGAAUCAACCGCAAUGGAGAGGUAUGACGAUAGUCUGGUAUCAAACUAUAGAUAGAAAGUAUUUCCCUAGAUCUUUUGGAUGGGUUAGAUGCAUCUAACCAACUCUAACCAUCAUGUUUAGAUGUUUUAGGGUUAGUUGAGUCCAAUCUAAUCAACUCUAACUCUAGCCCAUGGAUCCAAACAGGGCCGUUGUGGUGCCGCAGCGAGAACACAAUGAAGUUGCGGUUGUGUUUGGUGAGAACGACGUGGGGGACAUUGCAUUGACCCAUCCAACGGCUAUGCAGCACGGGAUCAGUCGGUGGACGUUAGGGUAUGUGUUUGAAGACUGGAAUGAUGCUGACACAGCAUCUACUGUGUUUAGAGGAUCUGACCUGAUAGGGUUGCUUGCGCGAGGAGUUGAUGCUGACGCAGCGUCUAGUGUGCAUCUUUCUGCGGAGGGCAAGAACACUACGGCUACGGCGACGAAUCCGAAAGUCGGUGUGUUCUUUAUGAAACGGACGUGCACAAGCAAAUAUCAAAGACACUUUUGCCACCAAGACAGAAUCCACCACGAUCGGUUGAAAGUAGAUGACGAGCAGUACAUUAAAUAAUUUCACCCCGCAACACUAGUAGCAUUUUGCCUUGCCCUUCCGACGCCUCCUCACGUAAUGGAACCCAGAGGGAAACUCGUAAUGCCAAAGUAGUCAUAACGCCGUGGAAG
Molecule: long non-coding RNA, 1290 nt
Filed under: Hordeum vulgare
Lineage: Eukaryota; Viridiplantae; Streptophyta; Magnoliopsida; Poales; Poaceae
Description: long non-coding RNA (HVUL_LNC004695)
Source: RNAcentral